UGGGGAAUUUUGGACAAUGGGCGAAAGCCUGAUCCAGCAAUGCCGCGUGUGUGAAGAAGGCCUUCGGGUUGUAAAGCACUUUUGUCCGGAAAGAAAUCCUUGGCUCUAAUACAGUCGGGGGAUGACGGUACCGGAAGAAUAAGCACCGGCUAACUACGUGCCAGCAGUCGCGGUAAUACGUAGGGUGCAAGCGUUAAUCGGAAUUACUGGGCGUAAAGCGUGCGCAGGCGGUUUGCUAAGACCGAUGUGAAAUCCCCGGGCUCAACCUGGGAACUGCAUUGGUGACUGGCAGGCUAGAGUAUGGCAGAGGGGGGUGGAAUUCCACGUGUAGCAGUGAAAUGCGUAGAGAUGUGGAGGAAUACCGAUGGCGAAGGCAGCCCCCUGGGCCAAUACUGACGCUCAUGCACGAAAGCGUGGGGAGCAAACAGGAUUAGAUACCCUGGUAGUCCACGCCCUAAACGAUGUCAACUAGUUGUUGGGGAUUCAUUUCCUUAGUAACGUAGCUAACGCGUGAAGUUGACCGCCUGGGGAGU
This 533-nucleotide ribosomal RNA is filed under the name uncultured bacterium. Its description in RNAcentral is "partial 16S ribosomal RNA". It matches the Rfam family "Bacterial small subunit ribosomal RNA", at positions 355 to 881 of the family's 1533-position model. The record is from RNAcentral.